GAUGAACGCUGGCGGCGUGCCUAAUACAUGCAAGUCGAGCGAACGGACGAGAAGCUUGCUUCUCUGAUGUUAGCGGCGGACGGGUGAGUAACACGUGGAUAACCUACCUAUAAGACUGGGAUAACUUCGGGAAACCGGAGCUAAUACCGGAUAAUAUUUUGAACCGCAUGGUUCAAAAGUGAAAGACGGUCUUGCUGUCACUUAUAGAUGGAUCCGCGCUGCAUUAGCUAGUUGGUAAGGUAACGGCUUACCAAGGCAACGAUGCAUAGCCGACCUGAGAGGGUGAUCGGCCACACUGGAGCUGAGACACGGUCCAGACGCCUACGGGAGGCAGCAGUAGGGAAUCUUCCGCAAUGGGCGAAAGCCUGACGGAGCAACGCCGCGUGAGUGAUGAAGGUCUUCGGAUCGUAAAACUCUGUUAUUAGGGAAGAACAUAUGUGUAAGUAACUGUGCACAGCUUGACGGUACCUAAUCAGAAAGCCACGGCUAACUACGUG
RNAcentral lists this ribosomal RNA (497 nucleotides) under uncultured bacterium. RNAcentral's name for it is "partial 16S ribosomal RNA". It matches the Rfam family "Bacterial small subunit ribosomal RNA", at positions 28 to 507 of the family's 1533-position model. The record is from RNAcentral.